AGCGACGCCGCGUGGGGGAUGACGGCHUUCGGGUUGUAAACCUCUUUCGCCAUCGACGAAGCCUUCGGGUGACGGUAGGUGGAGAAGAAGCACCGGCCAACUACGUGCCAGCAGCCGCGGUAAUACGUAGGGUGCGAGCGUUGUCCGGAAUUAUUGGGCGUAAAGAGCUCGUAGGCGGUGUGUCACGUCGGUCGUGAAAACUUGGGGCUUAACCCUGAGCGUGCGGUCGAUACGGGCAUCACUGGAGUUCGGCAGGGGAGACUGGAAUUCCUGGUGUAGCGGUGAAAUGCGCAGAUAUCAGGAGGAACACCGGUGGCGAAGKYKGGUCUCUGGGCCGAUACUGACGCUGAGGAGCGAAAGCGUGGGGAGCGAACAGGAUUAGAYACCCUGGUAVWMCACGCCGUAAACGGUGGGCGCUAGGUGUGGGGGCCAUUCCACGGUCUCUGUSCCGCAGCUAACGCAUUAAGCRCCCCGCCUGGGGAGUACGGCCGCAAGGCUA
This 499-nucleotide ribosomal RNA is filed under the name uncultured bacterium. Its description in RNAcentral is "partial 16S ribosomal RNA". It matches the Rfam family "Bacterial small subunit ribosomal RNA", at positions 390 to 896 of the family's 1533-position model. The record is from RNAcentral.